This 459-nucleotide ribosomal RNA is filed under the name uncultured bacterium. Its description in RNAcentral is "bacterial SSU rRNA". It matches the Rfam family "Bacterial small subunit ribosomal RNA", at positions 340 to 786 of the family's 1533-position model. The record is from RNAcentral.
UACGGGAGGCAGCAGUGGGGAAUAUUGCACAAUGGGCGAAAGCCUGAUGCAGCUAUGCCGCGUGUAUGAAGAAGGCCUUAGGGUUGUAAAGUACUUUCAUCGGGGAGGAAAAAACAAAACUAAUAAUUUUAUUUCUUGACGUUACCCGAAAAAGAAGCACCGGCUAACUCCGUGCCAGCAGCCGCGGUAAUACGGAGGGUGCUAGCGUUAAUCAGAAUUACUGGGCGUAAAGAGCACGUAGGUGGUUUUUUUAAAGUCAGAUGUGAAAUCCCUGGGCUUAACCUAGGAACUGCAUUUUGAAACUGAAAUACUAGAGUAUCGUAGAGGGAGGUAGAAUUCUAGGUGUAGCGGUGAAAUGCGUAGAUAUCUGGAGGAAUACCUGUGGCGAAAGCGGCCUCCUAAACGAAUACUGACACUGAGGGUGCGAAAAGCGUGGGGAGCAAACAGGGAUUAGAUACC